CUGCUGCCUCCCGUAGGAGUCUGGUCCGUGUCUCAGUACCAGUGUGGGGGACCUUCCUCUCAGAACCCCUACGCAUCGUCGGUUAGGUGGGCCGUUACCCCGCCUACUGCCUAAUGCGCCGCAUGCCCAUCCCUGUCCGGCCGAAGCCUUUCCUGCCUCCGGGAUGCCCCGGUGGCAUGUACGCGGGUUUAGCCCGCCUUUCGGCGGGUUGUCCCCCUGACAGGGGGCAGGUUGCAUACGUGUUACUCACCCGUGCGCCGGUCGCCGGCGGAGAAAG
Molecule: ribosomal RNA, 277 nt
Filed under: uncultured bacterium
Lineage: Bacteria
Description: partial 16S ribosomal RNA
Source: RNAcentral